Amblyraja radiata (thorny skate) is the source of this 2022-nucleotide long non-coding RNA. RefSeq lists it as uncharacterized. The transcript is spliced from 2 exons. Lineage: Eukaryota; Metazoa; Chordata; Chondrichthyes; Rajiformes; Rajidae. The record is from RefSeq and is a predicted model, not a curated record.
UCUAUCUAUCCAUCUAUCCAUCUAUCUAUAUAUCUAUCUAAUCUAACUAUCGAAUGUAAUAAAAACAUUUAGUCAAUCUUUUCGUAGUCAGGUGUGAUCACAUUUUGGGAUAUUCUUGCAAGAUCCUCUCCGUUUCAUUAAUGCACCCAUACUUAGAAUUAUGCAAAGUCCAUUUGUCCUAGAUCCGGUUUGGAAUACGUUCCGAGUAAAACUAGCAAGAGAAGCCAAACAACCUGUGCACCGAUCUUUAUCUGAACCUCCGUGACGUGGACAGGAGGGAGUAUCGGUUGGGGGCGCUGACAUCAACAAUUUCUCGAAAUAUUCUGGAUCACAGAAAAACUGGACCAUUGCCGCAUUGGUGGAGAGCGAGCAGCGCGGCCGAUGUAUACAAAAACACGCGGUAACUUUACAAACAUAACAAGUUUAAUAAUAACCACCAAAUAUUACCGCUUGUUUAUUUUAUUGCCGUGUUGAUAGCAUCCAUGCAAAUAAAGACAAUUAUUUUGGCUUCGGGAUAUCUCCGUUCAGUCUUUAAAUUUGCAAACGUUUGAUUCAUAACCGUGCCAGUGAGGGGUUAACAGGCGAGAAUUGGCAUGAGACGCCAGGGGCGACACUCAGAUGUCGCCUAAUGGAUGCCUGGGUACGGGAGAGGCACAUCCUCGCCGGUUCCUCCCCGUUGCAACCUGAGCAGCCAGUUUCCUGAAUAAUUGAGGGGACACGCAUUGCCAAAAUUACAAGGAUGAGAUAACUUCAUACAAAAGACGCGUUGAUAGUCACACCUACUAGGAACAGUAAACUCAUUCCGGCCAAUGACUCUACUCAUCCCGAAUAGUUGACGGGAGAAAUCAGACAUUUUUACAAGUCCACUCAAUGGUAUUCACAAGCGAAAUUACUUAUAGGAUUCGCUGAGAUAAAUUAUUAACUUAUGUUUCUAAUUUAUUAUAUUCUAAUUAUACAUUUUUUGAAAUCUAGUAGUCAACAAAAAGAGUAUCUGUAAAUGUUAUUACAUUUCGCUGAGAUUAGUCUAAUGAUUAUGGCCAUUGUCCAAAACGGACGGUCGUUUCUUUAACGCCAGUGUUCUCCGCUGACAUUUCUGAUUUAUGGCAAAUUUAAAAUGUUAUAGCUAAUUUUACGUGGUCUCUGAGAUAGGUUUCUAUCAAAGGUUACCGUGGCGCCAAUGUUGAUAAGGUCCAUUAAUAUUUUCCAAGCAGUUGAAAUUGUUUAGGAAAGAGAAAGCAUGUUUUGCAUGGAUAAUAUUACAACUGUGGUCUCUUCAAUGCUGGAGAACUCUACGACUGCCAUUUGGAGUUGGAAAAUAAAAUAUGCUUUUUUAAGUCAAAAGUUAAUUUUAAAUCAUCCCUUUAAGUGUGUUCGAACACCAUGGCACCUUUGAUAGCGACAGACACUUGUCAGCAGUGAUCUCCACUUUAAUAUAACGGGCGCCCAGGAAUGAUGAUAAUGGUCUUAGAAGGAAGAAGCUUGCAGCAAGGUUCGAGACGAGAUGGUCGCUACGAGCAUAGAACAAUUGAUUGAUUAACUAAACAACGUCUCCUGGUUGUUUGCCGGGGCAGUGGAGGGAGGGGGAAAAGUUACGCGCAGAUAACGAGUGAAUGAGUGCGUGAAAAAACAUCGAGAUAAGAUAAUGUGAGUCAUUCGAAAAUAUAAUCUGUCAGGGAAUGUCCGCAAGAAAAUACCAAGAUUUAGCAAUCGACUGUACCUUUUAUCAUCGGAAUUCAAAGCAGACAGACGUACGCGAAAAACGCCGUGGUAUCUAUGAUACAAAUAGAUUAUUACAUAAUUGUGACAGAUUUUUUUUCCUAUAUUGAUUAAUGGAGAUUAUUAUAUACAUAUAUUGAUUAAUAUCAAUUAAUUGGUACAUGACAUUUAUUGGUUGAAAUAUACUUCGAUUAAUAAAUAUUAUUUUAUGUAAAAUAUAUUUAUACAUAUAUGUACAUGCUAAAACAUCUUUAUGUUCAUAAGCAUUAUGAAUACUUACAUCUGAAAUAAAAAAGAGCUGGAAAA